UUGAGUUUUUGAGUUUUUGAGUU
This 23-nucleotide small nuclear RNA is filed under the name Arabidopsis thaliana (thale cress). Its description in RNAcentral is "snRNA_15392". Lineage: Eukaryota; Viridiplantae; Streptophyta; Magnoliopsida; Brassicales; Brassicaceae. The record is from RNAcentral.